GACGAACGCUGGCGGCGUGCUUAACACAUGCAAGUCGAACGAUGAAGCCUAGCUUGCUAGGUGGAUUAGUGGCGAACGGGUGAGUAAUACGUGAGUGACCUACCUUUGACUCUGGGAUAAGCCUGGGAAACUGGGUCUAAUACCGGAUACGACCAAUCUCCGCAUGGGGUGUUGGUGGAAAGCGUUAUGGAGUGGUUUUAGAUGGGCUCACGGCCUAUCAGCUUGUUGGUGAGGUAAUGGCUUACCAAGGCGACGACGGGUAGCCGGCCUGAGAGGGUGACCGGCCACACUGGGACUGAGACACGGCCCAGACUCCUACGGGAGGCAGCAGUGGGGAAUAUUGCACAAUGGGCGCAAGCCUGAUGCAGCGACGCCGCGUGAGGGAUGACGGCCUUCGGGUUGUAAACCUCUGUUAGCAUCGAAGAAGCGAAAGUGACGGUAGGUGCAGAGA
Molecule: ribosomal RNA, 451 nt
Filed under: Rothia dentocariosa
Lineage: Bacteria; Bacillati; Actinomycetota; Actinomycetes; Micrococcales; Micrococcaceae
Description: bacterial SSU rRNA
Rfam family: Bacterial small subunit ribosomal RNA
Source: RNAcentral